RNAcentral lists this ribosomal RNA (324 nucleotides) under uncultured eukaryote. RNAcentral describes it as "partial 18S ribosomal RNA". It matches the Rfam family "Eukaryotic small subunit ribosomal RNA", at positions 1470 to 1796 of the family's 1831-position model. The record is from RNAcentral.
CCCUUAGAUGUUCUGGGCCGCACGCGCGCUACACUGAUGCAUUCAACGAGUUUCUUCCUGGUCCGAGAGGAAUGGGUAACCUUUUGAAAGUGCAUCGUGAUAGGGAUAGACUAUUGCAAUUAUUGGUCUUCAACGAGGAAUUCCUAGUAGACGUAGUUCAUCAGACUGCAUCGAUUACGUCCCUGCCCUUUGUACACACCGCCCGUCGCUCCUACCGAUUGAAUGCUCAGGUGAGCCAUUCGGACUUUCAUCAUGCUGGUUUCCAGUUUUGAUGAAGGAAAGUCUUGCGAACCUUAUCAUCUAGAGGAAGUAAAAGUCGUAACA